UUCCCAACUGGGGUAUCUGUGUCCCUCUCCCCUAUUUGGUCUUGAAAGAUAUAAGACGACCACUCCCUGUGGAUGACGGCGUACCCUCUAACGAGAGUGGUGACAUGAAUAUCUAUUAGCACCUUUGGCUAAGUACUAUUGUGACUGUAGAUAUGUGAUAAGAGCACUAUGGUUGAUAUGACUAUGGUCGCAAAUCGUACCAUGGUUUGGCCAGCCAGAAUUGUGUCUGAGCAAAUUAUUGUUAUCUGUAUCUGAUAUAGUCAUUCCACAUGGGUAGUUGGAAAUCUAUAUAUGCAUUCAUAGAUAGAAUUUGUAACGACUUCGUGAAG
Molecule: long non-coding RNA, 329 nt
Filed under: Carica papaya (papaya)
Lineage: Eukaryota; Viridiplantae; Streptophyta; Magnoliopsida; Brassicales; Caricaceae
Description: long non-coding RNA (CPAP_LNC010936)
Source: RNAcentral